RNAcentral lists this ribosomal RNA (439 nucleotides) under uncultured bacterium. RNAcentral describes it as "partial 16S ribosomal RNA". It matches the Rfam family "Bacterial small subunit ribosomal RNA", at positions 339 to 795 of the family's 1533-position model. The record is from RNAcentral.
CUACGGGACGCUCCAGUGGGGAAUAUUGCACAAUGGAGGAAACUCUGAUGCAGCAACGCCGCGUGGAGGAUGACACUUUUCGGAGCGUAAACUCCUUUUAUAUAGGAAGAAGAUGACGGUACUAUAUGAAUAAGCGCCGGCUAACUCCGUGCCAGCAGCCGCGGUAAUACGGAGGGCGCAAGCGUUACUCGGAAUCACUGGGCGUAAAGAGCGUGUAGGCGGAUUAAAAAGUCAGAAGUGAAAUCCUAUAGCUUAACUAUAGAACUGCUUCUGAAACUCUUAAGCUAGAAUAUGGGAGAGGUAGAUGGAAUUUCUGGUGUAGGGGUAAGAUCCGUAGAGAUCAGAAGGAAUACCGAUUGCGAAGGCGAUCUACUAGAACAUUAUUGACGCUGAGACGCGAAAGCGUGGGGAGCAAACAGGAUUAGAUACCCUGGUAGUC